This 634-nucleotide ribosomal RNA is filed under the name uncultured bacterium. Its description in RNAcentral is "bacterial SSU rRNA". It matches the Rfam family "Bacterial small subunit ribosomal RNA", at positions 11 to 643 of the family's 1533-position model. The record is from RNAcentral.
GUUUGAUCAUGGCUCAGGAUGAACGCUGGCGGCGUGCUUAACACAUGCAAGUCGAACGAAGCAUUUGCGACAGAUUUCUUCGGAUUGAAGUUGCUUAUGACUGAGUGGCGGACGGGUGAGUAACGCGUGGGUAACCUGCCUCACACAGGGGGAUAGCAGUUGGAAACGACUGAUAAUACCGCAUAAGCGCACAGUACCGCAUGGUACAGUGUGAAAAACUCCGGUGGUGUGAGAUGGACCCGCGUCUGAUUAGCUUGUUGGCGGGGUAACGGCCCACCAAGGCAACGAUCAGUAGCCGACCUGAGAGGGUGACCGGCCACAUUGGGACUGAGACACGGCCCAGACUCCUACGGGAGGCAGCAGUGGGGAAUAUUGCACAAUGGAGGAAACUCUGAUGCAGCGACGCCGCGUGAGUGAAGAAGUAAUUCGUUAUGUAAAGCUCUAUCAGCAGGGAAGAUAGUGACGGUACCUGACUAAGAAGCUCCGGCUAAAUACGUGCCAGCAGCCGCGGUAAUACGUAUGGAGCAAGCGUUAUCCGGAUUUACUGGGUGUAAAGGGAGCGUAGGCCGUUUGGUAAGAGGGUUGUGAAAUGUCGGGGCUCAACCUGGGCAUUGCAGCGCGAACUGCCAGACUG